RNAcentral lists this long non-coding RNA (2645 nucleotides) under Triticum aestivum (bread wheat). Its description in RNAcentral is "long non-coding RNA (TAES_LNC026245)". The record is from RNAcentral. Lineage: Eukaryota; Viridiplantae; Streptophyta; Magnoliopsida; Poales; Poaceae.
ACACAUAUUAGCAUGGAAAAAAUGUUAACACACAAUUAGUUUGGCCAAAGAGAUCGCCUGAGCCCGCGCUCAAGCCAAAAACAGACGUGGCAGAUUCAAAAAAAAAUGACGUGCCAAAAGAAAUGGUGUUUCAUCAAUCAACCUCUUUCCGACUUUAAAGGCGCCAUCCAAUUUUUGGCUCGUCGAUGGAUUAAUACUUAUCACGCUCGUAAUGAUCGACCCUCCCAAACUCCGCUCCCACCUCUCCAUUAUCUGCAACAACCUCCGAUCCAACUGGCCUAGCCGGCUCCAACGCUGAUUCUCCACUCAUAUUCUAGUCCAGGCGCCUUCUCACGCGCGACCUUCUCCUCCAACGCCAGUCCCAUCGAACGCCGCUGCCCUAUUCACCGGCUGUAACGGAGCCGCCGUCUUCACCCACGGGAACGGAGCCGCCGGCGAACGCCCAUCCGGCCUACGGAAUACGACGUCACUGCUUGUUCUGCAUCCACACGUUGGAUUGAAGGUGAGAAUGUCGGCUCAUGUCAUCAGUUAGAACUAAGGCAACACAUGAGAUGAUUUAAAACCAAAGAAUGGGUUCCGCUUAUUCUGUGCAUGAACCCAUCAUGAGAUCUUAUGGGUUUUCUCUGAAAUUUCCUCCGUCCACAGCAUCGUGAUCCGCCUCUCUAUGCUCGUCGCCAGCAUCGAACUCUCUCCAUGGACACUACACGCAGUCAGCUUGAAUGCCAACGCCACCCUCCUGACGGGCGCGAUCGGAGCCUCCAGCCACACCCAGCCACCCAGGGGAUCGGAGCCAGCGGCCACCACCCACCUGGCCUAUGCGAUACGACGGUACUGCUUCCUCUUCAUCCACCUAUUCGCAUCACGGUUAGAACGCCUGAUAUUUUUACACCCCUUAGGCAACAGUGAGGUCAAUAUAAUCCAAAACUUUGUAUAUAAAUAUCAAAUGGCAGAAUCAUACAAUACAUACCACGUGUUGUUCAUAUUAACGAUAGUAGAGAAAAUUUAGUAAGUAAUCAUUAAUCACCGAUCAAUCUGUGUGGUAAACGUACACCUCUGGAGAGGUAGUAACAAAGAAAUAAAUAAAUUAAAUAGCUUAUCAUAGUAAUUUUGUGCUCUUUAAGAAACAAGUGGAACAAUUAUAGUACGGUACAACCCCAUAGCUUAUGUUUAUUCUCUAAAUUGACCCAGUCUCUGUUUGUGCAUAUUUUCCAGGAAUGGCCAGUUCUCCAACAAGUUGUGCCAACACGCAAUUACCAGACAUAACCAAUCAGGUAUAUUUUUUCCCAGUUAGGUUAAAAUCUUUGAAAACACAUAGUUCUUUUACCUUUACACGUAUUUCAGGCUUUUUUGGACGAACUCAGUGUGAAACAUGCAAAUAUGAGGUUAAUGUGCUCACCGAUAAGGUUCGCGCAAAUGAUUGAUGGAUUAGAUGACGAGCACUUAAAGGCCAUAUGCACUCAAACUGGUCUUGGAGGGCUAACAAAGAUGAAGUCAGUGUCCCUCCGACGUAUUAUGUUGGUGCUGCUAGCGAAGAGCUACAUCCACGACAUGCAGAGUAUUCACAUUGCUGGUAAGGACAUUUCUAUAACUCCAACGGAUGUCUAUCAAUUAAUGGACCUUCCAAUAGAGGGGAAAAUAUAUAUAUAUGGAAAUGGGAAAACCAAAAGACGCAAACUUGUUAAGGGCUUAUCAAACAGAUGGAAGACUUAAGCUGAGUGACCUUGAGGACAAAAUUAAAGCCUCCAAAACUCCAGAUGAUCAUUUCAUCAGGCGGUUUGUUUUGUAUGCUAUUGGCAUUAUUUUAGCACCCACGGUACAGGAUUAUGUCGACUCCAAAUAUUUUGUCCUUGUUGAAGACGUCGCAAGAAUUCCCAAAUUUAACUGGGGAUGUUUCACACUGGACCAUUUGCUAACAUCCAUCAAUACUUUUAAUUAUAAGGAUCAAGUCAAUCUACAAGGAAAUCUAGCUUUGCUCCAAGUAAGUGCUACGACACUAGUUGUCAUUCUACUAUUAUUCGUAUGAUGCAUAUAUCUCUAUCAUUGAUGUACUAAUGUUUCCUAUAGUUUUGGUAUUGGGAACAUGUCCAUGCUGGAUCGAUUUUGUAUUCUCGUAUACCCCAUCCACUAAUGGCACGGUGGGAUGAAGCCAUAGGUAAAAUAAGAACCGAGGCUUAUGAUAAAGGAGGCCUAUACAACGGAUUGGUACCUUUCUAGACUUGACUUCUUUAAUUACUAUAUUUAUUUCUUAGUACCGAUUCUUUAUAUCUUUUCAAAGGUUGUCAUGAGCAUCGGCGAUCUGGAGCCAACCAACAUUACAAAUGACCAGCAUACCAAGAAAGAUACACAUGCGCAUGAAGAUGCUAUCUAUCGACCACAACCAACAUUACAAAUGACCAGCAUACCAAGUAAGUUGCUCGAAGACACAUCCUUUUCAAUAACAUAACAAAGGUCACACCGAACCAUACUUAUUUUUCUUCGAACAAAACGAGUUGACAUUUCUUUUAUGCAGAUGGACAUGAUACUUCAAACACAUAACGAUCUAUUUGCAGAACUAGAGAAAAAGUUGGUCAAACAAGUAGUAGAAGUAGAGCACAAAUUAGAUCAAAGAAUAAUUACCGUGACCAAAGACGUGAUAAACAUAAGGG